This 485-nucleotide ribosomal RNA is filed under the name uncultured bacterium. RNAcentral describes it as "partial 16S ribosomal RNA". It matches the Rfam family "Bacterial small subunit ribosomal RNA", at positions 28 to 507 of the family's 1533-position model. The record is from RNAcentral.
GAUGAACGCUGGCGGCGUGCUUAACACAUGCAAGUCGAACGGGAUCCAAGGGGUGCUUGCACUUUUUGGUGAGAGUGGCGAACGGGUGAGUAACACGUGAGUAACCUGUCCUUUUCUUUGGGAUAAGCAUUCGAAAGGGUGUUUAAUACCUUAUGUUCUGUCUGCCUCGCAUGGGGUGGGUGGGAAAGGCUUUGGCCGGAUUUGGGUGGGCUCGCGGUCUAUCAGCUUGUUGGUGGGGUGAUGGCUUACCAAGGCUUUGACGGGUAGCCGGCCUGAGAGGGUGGUCGGUCACAUGGGGACUGAGAUACGGCCCAGACUCCUGCGGGAGGCAGCAGUGGGGGAUAUUGCACAAUGGGCGAAAGCCUGAUGCAGCGACGCCGCGUGGGGGAUGGAGGCCUUAGGGUUGUAAACUUCUUUUGCUCUGAACAAGGCAUGCCAGUGGGUGUGUUGAGUGUAGGGGUGGAUUAGCGCCGGCUAACUACGUG